Molecule: ribosomal RNA, 996 nt
Filed under: Echinorhynchus truttae
Lineage: Eukaryota; Metazoa; Acanthocephala; Palaeacanthocephala; Echinorhynchida; Echinorhynchidae
Description: SSU rRNA
Rfam family: Eukaryotic small subunit ribosomal RNA
Source: RNAcentral
CGUUGGACAUCAGGAGAUGGAUCGUGGACAACCUAGAGUUGCUACUACGGUUUCACUCCUUUUUUAUGCCAGUUCAUCGAUGAUGUACUUGAAUGUGUGUCACGGUAGAAGGUCAAUGUCACUUUGAGAAAAUUAGUGUGCUCAACGCAGGCUUUACGCUUGUAUAAUGCUGCAUGGGAUGACGGAAUAGGGCCUCGGUUCCGUUUCGUUGGUUUACGAAAGCAGAGGUCAUGAUUAAUCGGGACAGACGGGGGCAUUCGUAUUGCGAUGCUAGAAGUGAAAUUCUGUGACCAUCGCAAGACGGACAACUGCGAAAGCAUUUGCCAAGAAUGUUUUCAUUAAUCAAGAACGAAAGUUAGAGGAUCGAAGACGAUUAGAUACCGUCCUAGUUCUAACUGUAAACUAUGCCGACCGGGGAUUCGCCAAUGCAAUAUUGCUUGGCGAGCACCCUCCGGGAAACCAAAGUGAUUGGGUUCCGGGGGGAGUAUGGUUGCAAAAUCGAAACUUAAAGGAAUUGACGGAGGGGCACACCAGAAGUGGAGCCUGCGGCUCAAUUUGACUCAACGCACGAAAGCUUACUCGGUCCGAACACCGUGAGGAUUGACAGGUUGAAAGCUCUUUCUUGAUCCGGUGGGUAGCGGUGCAUGGCCGUUCGUAGUUGGUGAAGUGAUUUGUCUGGUUUAUUCCGAUAACGAACGAGACUCUAGCCUACUAAUUAGCGUGAUGAUUGAUCGUCAUUACAAAUGCUUCUUAGAGGGACAGGUGUUGCUUAAACACACGAAGUAGGAGCAAUAACAGGUCUGUGAUGCCCUUCGAUGUUCGAGGCUGCACGCGCGCUACAAUGGAGGGCGCAAAGCGCACUACGCAUUUUGAAAAGGAUGCGGAAUCGUAAAUAGCCUUCAUGACUGGGAUCGGAGAUUGAAAUUAUUCUUCGUGAACGAGGAAUUCCUAGUAAGCGCGAAUCAUUACCUCGCGUUGAUUAAGUCCCUGCCCUUU